RNAcentral lists this ribosomal RNA (587 nucleotides) under Kocuria sp. SCULCB HNA-12. Its description in RNAcentral is "bacterial SSU rRNA". It matches the Rfam family "Bacterial small subunit ribosomal RNA", at positions 82 to 681 of the family's 1533-position model. The record is from RNAcentral. Lineage: Bacteria; Bacillati; Actinomycetota; Actinomycetes; Micrococcales; Micrococcaceae.
GCUGGGCGGAUUAGUGGCGAACGGGUGAGUAAUACGUGAGUAACCUGCCCUUGACUCUGGGAUAAGCCUGGGAAACUGGGUCUAAUACUGGAUACUACCUCCUGCCGCAUGGUGGGUGGUGGAAAGGGUUUUACUGGUUUUGGAUGGGCUCACGGCCUAUCAGCUUGUUGGUGGGGUAAUGGCUCACCAAGGCGACGACGGGUAGCCGGCCUGAGAGGGUGACCGGCCACACUGGGACUGAGACACGGCCCAGACUCCUACGGGAGGCAGCAGUGGGGAAUAUUGCACAAUGGGCGGAAGCCUGAUGCAGCGACGCCGCGUGAGGGAUGACGGCCUUCGGGUUGUAAACCUCUUUCAGUAGGGAAGAAGCGAAAGUGACGGUACCUGCAGAAGAAGCGCCGGCUAACUACGUGCCAGCAGCCGCGGUAAUACGUAGGGCGCAAGCGUUGUCCGGAAUUAUUGGGCGUAAAGAGCUCGUAGGCGGUUUGUCGCGUCUGCUGUGAAAGCCCGGGGCUCAACCCCGGGUCUGCAGUGGGUACGGGCAGACUAGAGUGCAGUAGGGGAGACUGGAAUUCCUGGUGUAGCGG